GUGGAGAGAGCAUUGGCUUUGGAAUCAGGAAAGGCAAUGUUUGGAUCCUGCCACUGUAAAAUCAGAGAAUAUCCAGAUCUGCCAUGUCUCAGCUGAGGACAAAACUCAUUGCUGAACUCUCUGCAGCUGACUAAGGGGAAAAUAGU
This 146-nucleotide long non-coding RNA is filed under the name Monodelphis domestica (gray short-tailed opossum). Its description in RNAcentral is "lncRNA (ENSMODG00000050451.1)". The record is from RNAcentral. Lineage: Eukaryota; Metazoa; Chordata; Mammalia; Didelphimorphia; Didelphidae.